This 18-nucleotide small nuclear RNA is filed under the name Arabidopsis thaliana (thale cress). RNAcentral describes it as "snRNA_11715". Lineage: Eukaryota; Viridiplantae; Streptophyta; Magnoliopsida; Brassicales; Brassicaceae. The record is from RNAcentral.
AUUUAUUUUCUUAGUAAA